ACUAUCAGUCGAAGGAAUCAGUUGCAAGUGACCACAAAGUUCCCCAAAGGCUUCUCGGUGCUGGAUGCGACACGAAUACGCACCUUCUUUUCUUUUGUUUUCUUUUUCCUUAAGGGGUCACAUGUACAGGAUAUACAUGACUUGACGAGAGACAAACCAUCCAUGCAACAGGUCAUUUUUGGAAGCAACCAGAGUGAUGACAUUUUCAACGAAAUUGGGGUCCCAUGAUCGCCGGAAACGACUUGAUAAAGACAGCACUACAGUCUGGAGAUCAUGCACAUGUGGAUUCACGAGUCGCUCUUGAUUAAAGUGUGAUUCCGGCUACAAUGCUACACUCUCCGGCUACAAUUUGAUCUUCAUUUGUUUCUUUUGAUUUUUUUCCCCUAAGAGCCAAAGGCUGUCAUUGCAGACGGCAACCAGUACAAAGAAUGUCCAAAGAAGCGGUCACAGAGUUUUAAGGAUCCUAACAAAGGCAUUCUCCGCACUACUGAGAACCAUUUCAUGACAGUCACUUUGUGUUACAGUGUGGACUCAGCAAGACAGACUUUCUCUUUACUUCAAGCUGGCAGGUUGUACCACGUUACUGUCAUUGCAACUUCUCUCUGGAUGGAGAGGUAGGGCGCCCAUAAUUGUAAAAUUCUCGCUGUCUUGGCAUCAAUGAGUGGGUAGUCUUUCCCAGUGUGCACGAGUUAUUGUAGGAGAAAGAACAGUUUGCCACACUAUUCACCCAUCCUUGCUUUUGGAAUGUAGUCCAUCAAUAUCAUCCUUCCAGCAGAGCUAAUUCAAAUUCUUUGCAUCAAUCUCUCCAGGGUCAAGGCGACCAAAUCAUUUUCAUCCUGAAAUCUUUGCUUAUCUCAUGCCACACAGAACCUUAAAAAAAUUAUUCAACUAUUUGUUUGUGAUAUCUAACCAUAACUGCCCAGAUCUUAACUUGUAUUAAAGACGAGUUUUCAACCACACAUUGCAGACAUUAAAAAUUGUCUCCUACUUUUUAAUUGCUCACUGGUCUAUGUUAAUAGUAUGAUGGGUACAAAACUCAAAGAGAACUUCAAAAUUCAGAAUGAUUGAAAGAUCAGAAAUUUUUCAGAGGUAUGAACGAGCUUAAAAAAGUAAACUUGUCUCAUGAAUAGAAAAGUGAUGAUUAUCAGAACGAUAAUUCAGAAGCUGCCAACAUGUUUGUUGAUUUGCAAGAUCACGUUAUCCGGCUGAAAUUAUGUUCAUGAUAAGUAUAGUUUCAAAUUCUUUUAAACACUCAAUUUGAUAUAUAUAUAUAUAUAUAUAUAUAUAUAUAUAUAUGUGUGUGUGUGUGUAUGUAUCUAUGGGACAAUUCAUUCUUAAAAUCAAUGUAAUAAAUGAAUAAAUGAAUAAUUUAAUAAAUUGAUAACAAGAGCAAGUUUUGGUGGAAGGUUUUCUGUCAAUGAUUUAUGCAACUCCAAGCACUGCACCCAUAGAAUCCAUAGACUGAAUUAUAAAGAGGGUUUUUCGUAGUAUCUCCUAAUUAACGAUGUGUUCAACAUCCUAUCAUCUUAAUUAAAAUGAAUGAAUUUACAAUUGAUGUUGGAAUGAAUGUUGAAUGGAUGAAUGAAUAUAUUACAUUACUUUUUAUUCUUAUGAUCAACUUUUGUUAAGUGAUAUGACUUGGUAAUCGGUGAGAAUCGAAAUAAUUAUGUUCGACUGUAAAUAGUAAUAUGGUUUUAGUAGAAAGUUAUAUGGAAAUAUUUUACCGCAAAUUUGCUUAAAUAUGCUUCGUACACAUAAUGUCAACAUUUCUUUCUUUUCUCCCUCUUUUAUCUAUCUUUUUCUUUCUCUCUUUCUUCUUCGAUUUCUUUAUUUGUUUAUUAAUGCAAGUUUUCCUCAUCUCUUGGGGUUCCACCCAUGUGUAACCAAGAUCAUCCACACUGGUGCACCGCAUAUGGUCCAUGCACGGCAGGGAGAUGGAAACUAUGUGUCAGCAUGCUGUAAGGCUGGAAGAGGGGCCUCAACUUUAGCAACCUAGACGCCUUGGGGGCUGGAGCUACCCGACUUGAAGCUAUUCUCAGCGGAGGAGGGGGAGACGAUAAAGGGAGACGAGGAAAGAAGGAAGGAGAGAGCCAGAGCCAGUCUAACAUUCCUUUGUCCUGGAUUCAUCAACAGUGCUCCCUACAGGAAAGUAGUUGGAUCCUUUGACCCUUCAAAAGAUGUUUUCACUCUACCUUUUCCCUUUUGUUCUGCAGUGUAACAAUGCUGGGCUUUGAGUUCCAAAUUUUAUAAACAAUUGGAUGCUGUUUCACA
Molecule: non-coding RNA, 2271 nt
Organism: Physcomitrium patens
Lineage: Eukaryota; Viridiplantae; Streptophyta; Bryopsida; Funariales; Funariaceae
Source: RefSeq, a predicted model, not a curated record